UAAACGACUCUCGGCAAUGGAUAUCUCGGCUCUUGCAUCGAUGAAGAACGUAGCGAAAUGCGAUACUUGGUGUGAAUUGCAGAAUCCCGUGAACCAUCGAGUCUUUGAACGCAAGUUGCGCCUGAAGCCAUUAGGUUGAAGGCACGUCUGCCUGGGCGUCACGC
RNAcentral lists this ribosomal RNA (164 nucleotides) under Rhododendron meridionale. Its description in RNAcentral is "5.8S ribosomal RNA". It matches the Rfam family "5.8S ribosomal RNA". From Rfam's summary of the family: 5.8S ribosomal RNA (5.8S rRNA) is a component of the large subunit of the eukaryotic ribosome. It is transcribed by RNA polymerase I as part of the 45S precursor that also contains 18S and 28S rRNA. The record is from RNAcentral. Lineage: Eukaryota; Viridiplantae; Streptophyta; Magnoliopsida; Ericales; Ericaceae.